This 83-nucleotide ribosomal RNA is filed under the name uncultured eukaryote. RNAcentral describes it as "partial 18S ribosomal RNA". It matches the Rfam family "Eukaryotic small subunit ribosomal RNA", at positions 1299 to 1381 of the family's 1831-position model. The record is from RNAcentral.
UGGUGGAGUGAUUUGUCUGGUUAAUUCCGUUAACGAACGAGACCCCUGCCUGCUAAAUAGUCCAAUGAGUAUUUUUUUUACUU